UGGGGAAUCUUGCACAAUGGGGGCAACCCUGAUGCAGCGACGCCGCGUGAGCGAUGAAGCCCUUCGGGGCGUAAAGCUCUUUCGACCGGAACGAUAAUGACGGUACCGGGAGAAGAAGCUGCGGCUAACUACGUGCCAGCAGCCGCGGUAAUACGUAGGCAGCAAGCGUUGUUCGGAGUUACUGGGCGUAAAGAGUGCGUAGGCGGUUUUCUAAGUUCGGUGGGAAAUCUCCCGGCUUAACUGGGAGGGUGCGCCGAGGACUGGGAAGCUGGAGUGUGAGAAAGGCAGGCGGAAUUCCUGGUGUAGCGGUGAAAUGCGUAGAUAUCAGGAGGAACACCGGCGGUGUAGACGGCUUGCUAGACCAUAACUGAAGCUGAGGCACGAAAGCG
Molecule: ribosomal RNA, 389 nt
Filed under: uncultured bacterium
Lineage: Bacteria
Description: bacterial SSU rRNA
Rfam family: Bacterial small subunit ribosomal RNA
Source: RNAcentral